This 1400-nucleotide ribosomal RNA is filed under the name Mycolicibacterium sp. Its description in RNAcentral is "bacterial SSU rRNA". It matches the Rfam family "Bacterial small subunit ribosomal RNA". The record is from RNAcentral. Lineage: Bacteria; Bacillati; Actinomycetota; Actinomycetes; Mycobacteriales; Mycobacteriaceae.
CACAUGCAAGUCGAACGGAAAGGCCUUCGGGUACACGAGUGGCGAACGGGUGAGUAACACGUGGGUGAUCUGCCCUGCACUUUGGGAUAAGCCUGGGAAACUGGGUCUAAUACCGAAUAGGACCACAUGCUUCAUGGUGUGUGGUGGAAAGCUUUUGCGGUGUGGGAUGGGCCCGCGGCCUAUCAGCUUGUUGGUGGGGUAAUGGCCUACCAAGGCGACGACGGGUAGCCGGCCUGAGAGGGUGUCCGGCCACACUGGGACUGAGAUACGGCCCAGACUCCUACGGGAGGCAGCAGUGGGGAAUAUUGCACAAUGGGCGCAAGCCUGAUGCAGCGACGCCGCGUGAGGGAUGACGGCCUUCGGGUUGUAAACCUCUUUCAGCAGGGACGAAGCGUAAGUGACGGUACCUGUAGAAGAAGCACCGGCCAACUACGUGCCAGCAGCCGCGGUAAUACGUAGGGUGCGAGCGUUGUCCGGAAUUACUGGGCGUAAAGAGCUCGUAGGUGGUUUGUCGCGUUGUUCGUGAAAACUCACAGCUUAACUGUGGGCGUGCGGGCGAUACGGGCAGACUGGAGUACUGCAGGGGAGACUGGAAUUCCUGGUGUAGCGGUGGAAUGCGCAGAUAUCAGGAGGAACACCGGUGGCGAAGGCGGGUCUCUGGGCAGUAACUGACGCUGAGGAGCGAAAGCGUGGGGAGCGAACAGGAUUAGAUACCCUGGUAGUCCACGCCGUAAACGGUGGGUACUAGGUGUGGGUUUCCUUCCUUGGGAUCCGUGCCGUAGCUAACGCAUUAAGUACCCCGCCUGGGGAGUACGGCCGCAAGGCUAAAACUCAAAGGAAUUGACGGGGGCCCGCACAAGCGGCGGAGCAUGUGGAUUAAUUCGAUGCAACGCGAAGAACCUUACCUGGGUUUGACAUGCACAGGACGCCGGCAGAGAUGUCGGUUCCCUUGUGGCCUGUGUGCAGGUGGUGCAUGGCUGUCGUCAGCUCGUGUCGUGAGAUGUUGGGUUAAGUCCCGCAACGAGCGCAACCCUUGUCUCAUGUUGCCAGCACGUAAUGGUGGGGACUCGUGAGAGACUGCCGGGGUCAACUCGGAGGAAGGUGGGGAUGACGUCAAGUCAUCAUGCCCCUUAUGUCCAGGGCUUCACACAUGCUACAAUGGCCGGUACAAAGGGCUGCGAUGCCGUGAGGUGGAGCGAAUCCUUUCAAAGCCGGUCUCAGUUCGGAUCGGGGUCUGCAACUCGACCCCGUGAAGUCGGAGUCGCUAGUAAUCGCAGAUCAGCAACGCUGCGGUGAAUACGUUCCCGGGCCUUGUACACACCGCCCGUCACGUCAUGAAAGUCGGUAACACCCGAAGCCGGUGGCCUAACCCUUGUGGAGGGAGCCGUCGAAGGUGGGAU